Setaria italica (foxtail millet) is the source of this 1002-nucleotide long non-coding RNA. RefSeq lists it as uncharacterized. Lineage: Eukaryota; Viridiplantae; Streptophyta; Magnoliopsida; Poales; Poaceae. The transcript is spliced from 2 exons. The record is from RefSeq and is a predicted model, not a curated record.
CACGGUGAGCUCUGAGCUGGUGCCCGUCGCCGUUCAGAUCUCGACGCCGGUGGUCCCCGUCCUGCGCGCACGCCGUCGCACGCACGCGCAGGGAAGGGACUGCCAUUUAUGCCCACGCCGCACGCACGGCGCGCCAGGGCGCACGCACGGCUUCCUGAGCUGUAUAUAUCUCAGGUCCCAAAACACUGAGCACAAGUAUAAACUAGUCUACUAGUACAAGUCUACAACAAGCAUGAAAGGCCAAGGCUUUAAUCAAACCGAGCAGGUCAGGGGCGAUGCCGGACAUGAUCGUGGCCAUGGGGGACAGGACGAGGAAAGCGAGGCCACAAGGAUCCAAGGAGCCAGUGGUUCUCGAGGCCGCUGUCCCCGGCCAGAGCUCCAACCAGUCGUGGAUCGCCAGUAUUAUACAACAUACACUAGCGAGCUAGCCGUGCGUGUGCAGUUCACACACCACAACCAACGAUACGACCACAGAAGCAAGUCUUCUCCUAUUAACAAGAUUGUUCAAGGGAUCAAUAAGGAGCAAAUCUAGCUAGCUAGUAACAAGGAUGAAGCUUGUUGGGAGCGGCAGCAAGAGGAGAGGAGGGCUGGGCAGGGCUCUCAAGGAGCACAAGGCCAGGCUCUACAUCAUCCGCCGAUGCGUCGUCAUGCUCCUCCGCUGGGAUGACUAGCUAGCUAGUCGCAUCUCGCAUGGCCAGAUGCCCAGAUGGUUGCCUUUUGAUCGUCCUGUCAAUUUUGGCUCUUGGUAUACCGAUUUCCCCCCCAUCAUGGAUUGGUGAUGGGUGAUGGAUUGGUCAUGGAUUGACCCUUUUUUGAUAGAUCUCCUGAUCUAUUAUUAUGUGUAGUGUACAAUAUAGAUGUUGAGGAUUGAGGUAGAUCGUACUGUAGGUGUUUAGGUAGUAGAGGUGAUUAAGGAGGGAACUGGAAUCAUGUCCUAAGGACAUGUUUUGCCUUGUAUAUGUUCAGUGGAAUCGCAAGGAAAAAUAUGACAUCGAUAUCGAA